Molecule: ribosomal RNA, 466 nt
Filed under: uncultured bacterium
Lineage: Bacteria
Description: bacterial SSU rRNA
Rfam family: Bacterial small subunit ribosomal RNA
Source: RNAcentral
CCAGACUCCUACGGGAGGCAGCAGUGAGGAAUAUUGGUCAAUGGCCGGAAGGCUGAACCAGCCAAGCCGCGUGAGGGGGGAAGGCGCAGAGCGUCGCAGACCUCUUUUGCCGGGGGACAAAAGGCCGGACUCGUCCGGUCCUGAGGGUACCCGGAGAAAAAGCAUCGGCUAACUCCGUACCAGCAGCCGCGGUAAUACGGAGGAUGCGAGCGUUAUCCGGAUUCAUUGGGUUUAAAGGGUGCGCAGGCGGGCCCUUAAGGCGGGGGGGAAAUGCGCGGGCUCCACCCCCGCCGAGCCGUCGGAACUGGGGGCCUUGAGUGCGGCGGAGGCAUGCGGAAUGCGCGGUGUAGCGGUGAAAUGCAUAGAUAUCACGAAGAACCCCGAUUGCGAAGGCAGCAUACCGGCUCCACACUGACGCUGAGGCACGAAAGCGUGGGUAUCGAACAGGAUUAGAUACCCCUGUAGC